Molecule: RNA transcript, 1645 nt
Organism: Myotis lucifugus (little brown bat)
Lineage: Eukaryota; Metazoa; Chordata; Mammalia; Chiroptera; Vespertilionidae
Gene name: heterogeneous nuclear ribonucleoprotein K pseudogene
Exons: 1
Source: RefSeq, a predicted model, not a curated record
UCUAUGUCUUGCUUACAUCCCGCUUGUUUACAGCCUAUAGAUUGGUGUGUCCAUAUAAUCCAAGAAAAUGGAAACUGAACAGCCAGAGGAAAUCUUCCACAGCACCAAAACCAACCGUGAAUUUGGUAAACGCCCUGCAGAAGAUAUGGAAGAGGAACAAGCUUUUAAAAGAUCUAGGAACACCGAUGAGAUGGUUGAAUUACGCAUUCUGCUUCAGAGCAAGAAUGCUGGGGCAGUGAUUGGAAAAGGAGGCAAGAAUAUUAAGGCUCUGCGUACAGACUACAAUGCCAGUGUUUCAGUCCCAGACAGCAGUGGCCCUGAGCGCAUAUUGCGUAUCAGUGCUGAUAUUGAAGCAAUUGGAGAAAUUCUGAAGAAAAUCAUCCCUACCUUGGAAGAGGGCCUGUGGUUGCCAUCACCCACUGCAACCAGCCAGCUCCCGCUCGAAUCUGAUGCUGUGGAAUGCUUAAAUUACCAACACUAUAAAGGAAGCGACUUUGACUGUGAAUUGAGACUGUUGAUUCAUCAGAGUCUGGCAGGAAGGAUUAUUGGGGUCAAAGGUGCUAAAAUCAAAGAAAUUCGAGAGAAUACUCAGACAAAAAUCAAGCUUUUCCAGGAAUGCUGUCCUCAUUCCACUGACAGAGUCGUUCUUAUUGGAGGAAAACCUGAUAAGGUUGUAGAGUGCAUAAAGAUCAUCCUUGAACUUAUAUCAGAGUCGCCCAUCAAAGGACAUGCACAGCCUUAUGAUCCCAACUUUUAUGAUGAAACUUAUGAUUAUGGUGGCUUUACAAUGAUGUCUGAUGACCGCCGUGGCUGUCCUGUGGGAUUUCCCAUGCGGGGAAGAAGUGGUUUUGACAGGAUGCCUCCUGGUCGUGGUGGGCACCUCAUGCCUCCAUCUAGAAGAGAUUAUGAUGAUAUGAGCCCUUGGCGAGGACCUCCUCCCCCUCCUCCUGGACGAGGUGGCUGGGGUGGUAGCAGAGCUCGCAAUCUUCCUCUUCCUCUUUCACCACCACCUAGAGGGGGGGAUAUAAUGGCCUAUGACAGGAGAGGAAGACCUGGAGAUCGUUAUGAUGGCAUGGUAGAUGAAACAUGGGACUCUGCAAUAGAUGCAUGGAGCCCUUCAGAAUGGCAGAUGGCUUAUGAACCACAGGGUGGCUCUGGAUAUGAUUAUUCCUACGCAGGGGGUCGUGGCUCAUAUGGUGAACUUGGUGGACCUAUUAUUACAACACAAGUAACUAUUCCCAAAGAUCUGGCUGGAUCUAUAAUUGGCAAAGGUGGUCAGAGGAUUAAACAAACUCAACAUGAGUCAGGAGCUUCGAUCAAAAUUGAUGAGCCUUUAGGAGGGUCUGAAGAUCGGAUCAUUACCAUUUCAGGAACAGAGGACCAGAUACGGAAUGCACAGUAUUUGCUGCAAAACAGUGUGAAGCAGUAUGCAGAUGUUGAAGGAUUCUAAUGCAAGAUAUUUUUUCUUAUUAGAGUGUGAAGCAGUAUUCUGGAAAGUUUUUCUAAGACUAGUGAAGAACUGAAGGAUUCCUGCAUCUUUUUUUUUAUCUGCUUCUGUUUAAAAAGCCAACAUUCCUCUGCUUCAUAGGUGUUCUGCAUUUGAGGUGUAGUGAAAUCUUUGCUGUUCACCAGAUGUAAUGUUUUA